GACGAACGCUGGCGGCGUGCUUAACACAUGCAAGUCGAACGAUGAAGCCUAGCUUGCUAGGUGGAUUAGUGGCGAACGGGUGAGUAAUACGUGAGUAACCUACCUUUAACUCUGGGAUAAGCCCGGGAAACUGGGUCUAAUACCGGAUACGACCAAUCUCCGCAUGGGGUGUUGGUGGAAAGCGUUAUGUAGUGGUUAUAGAUGGGCUCACGGCCUAUCAGCUUGUUGGUGAGGUAACGGCUCACCAAGGCGACGACGGGUAGCCGGCCUGAGAGGGUGACCGGCCACACUGGGACUGAGAGACGGCGCAGACUCCUACGGGAGGCAGCAGUGGGGAAUAUUGCACAAUGGGCGCAAGCCUGAUGCAGCGACGCCGCGUGAGGGAUGACGGCCUUCGGGGUGUAAACCUCUGUUAGCAGGGAAGAAGAGAGAUUGACGGUACCUGCAGAGAAAGCGCCGGCUAACUACGUG
Molecule: ribosomal RNA, 471 nt
Filed under: uncultured bacterium
Lineage: Bacteria
Description: partial 16S ribosomal RNA
Rfam family: Bacterial small subunit ribosomal RNA
Source: RNAcentral